Passer domesticus (house sparrow) is the source of this 4545-nucleotide long non-coding RNA. RefSeq lists it as uncharacterized. The transcript is spliced from 3 exons. NCBI's taxonomy places the organism in Eukaryota, Metazoa, Chordata, Aves, Passeriformes, Passeridae. The record is from RefSeq and is a predicted model, not a curated record.
UCCCCGUGUGGGCCCAUUACAAGUUGAACUCGGUGAUGUUUGUGGGUCCAUUCCAACUCAGAAUAUUCUGUGUUCUGUGACCCGCUGUGGUCCCUUCCAACCUUACCCAGUCCGUGGCUAUGUGAGUCUGUGAUAACCUCUUUCAAGGAAAUAAUUGGAAUUUACUUUAAAAUGGCCACAGGGUUUGAGUGCCCAUCAGUCACUGUGUAUAUUUAAUUUAACAUAAAUCUUAAAUCAUGGGAUUAUGGCAUGGGAAAGGUUGGAAAGCAUCAAAGUGGGGUCAUCUGGUCCAACCUCCCUGCUCAAGCAGGAUCAUCCCAGAGCACAGGAUUGUGUCCAGACGAAUCUGGAGUAUCUCCAGUGAAAGAGACUCCACACCCUUUCUGUGCAAUUGUGGAACUCCCUGGGCAUCAGUUCCUGCCUGUUCCUCUUGUCCCAUUGCUGGGCACACCUGUGAGCAGAGCCUGGUGCCUGCUCUGAGCCCUCCCUGCAGACACUGACAGAGGGAUGAGUUCCCUUCUCAGUCGUGUCUUCUCGAGGCUGAACAGCCCCAGCUCCCUCAACUUUUCCUCAUAAAAGAGAUGUUCCAGUCCAUCAUCUCUGCUGAGCCCACUCCAGGAGCUCCAUGUCUUGUUCUGAGGAUCCCAGAGCCGGACAUUUCAGAUGAAAUGUGGGAGCUGGCCUCUUCUCCCCAGCAACCAGUGACAGGACAAAAGGAAAUGGCCUCAAGCUGCACCAAGAGAGGUUCAUGAUGGACACUAGGAAGAAUUUUUUCAUGGGAAGGGUUGUCAAGCAUUGGAACAGGCUGCCCAGGGAGGUUCCAGGAGUCAACAUCCCUGGAGGUGUUCCACAAAUGACUGGACAUGGCACUCUGUGCUGUGGUUUAGUUGACGUGGUUGUGUUUGCUCAAAGCCUGGGCUUGGUGAUUUUGGAGGUCUCUUCCAGCCCUAAUGAUUCUGUGAUUCUGGGAAAGAGCCACUUUAAAUAUCUCUGUUAAUCUUUCCCUUAUCUCUUGUGAACAGCUGAACUCAGUUUUUGCUCUCCUGCCUGUCCCAGGUAGCUGGAGCUUGAGCAGAUCCCAGAUUUCCACCUCUGGAAGUUACUGCGUGUCUAGAAACCGGAGGCAGGGCCACAGAAUCCGAGAAUAUCCUGAGUUGGAUGGGACUCACAAGGGCCAUCAAAUCCAGCUUCUGGACUGCAUCUACCAAGGGUUGAUAGAGAACUACUCAAUAUAAACAAUGCUAUUUGGAAUGUGAAUUUCACUGAUAAAAUCUGGGCAGUUUACUUCAGGGUAAGACAAGUCCCACUCUUAAACUUACCUACAUUUAUUAGUUUACCAGGCACCAUAAGGAAACUCAAGGGGGACGUGGAACAAGUAAAGACCUGGAUUGUAAAUGCAGUUUUUCAGGUGAAUCCCAUGUGAAACAUCCCAAUCCCUUCCAGGAGCCAAUUCAUUAGUCUUUUUCUGUUCAUCUGUGCUACCUACAAAUUUCUUUGUCAGUUUGAAGCCAAUCCCCCUUGUUCCUCUUAGUACAUGCCCUUGGAAAAAGCCCCUCUACAUCUCUCAGGGGUGAUUGUCCCUGUCCUCUUCCUGUUUCAGAGAAAAUCCUCCUGCAUUACACUUCCCUCUUGGUUGAAAGAGUUACCCUAGGUAUAGGUGGGAUGCUGCUGAGCUGUGUGAGUCCAUUUUACAAUGGCUGCAAAGAGUCCCUGCUGUCCACAUGAAAUCAUUACUUGGGAACCACUGAAACAGUGACCUCAUAAAUUUAAGUCAGCCAGGACGUAGAAAGAUUUCUCUCAUUCCUCUGAUUUGUUCAUCCUGUGCUGCUUUGACAGCUGGAAUAAAAAUGGAAUAAAAGAGCAUUGUGAUUUUCUUGAGCUCUUUAGUUACCUAAUUAAAAAUUGAUCAUUUUUUCUCUUUAGGAUUCUCUAGAAAAAGGAUACUGCUCUUGCAGUCAAAGUUUUUCAAGAGAGUCUCUGGACCACAUAAAGUAUGGAACUAAAACCAUAUCAGAAUUUUGGAAGAAAGGACUAAGGAAGGAGCUAAUGACACUCCUAGAGGAAAAGAAGAUCAAAUUUCUUUUUUGGUGCUUAAUUUUAUCUGAACCAAAUCCUUCACUGCGUAGUGUGGCCACAGAAUUGAGCAGAGUUCAUCCCAACUGAGGAUCAAGUCUUUAAUCUUCUGCUUUUAUUGAUAUUUAUUAUUUAUUUUACAAUAAGUGCCACAAUUUAGCAUUCAUAAUUAUUUUUAUGCAAGGAAAUACUCGGGACUGGGGAUGUAUCCUUUUAAAAGCUUGGCAGCACGUGGAUUGGGUCAUCCUGAAUGUUGGGACUAAAGGAAAGCUCAUAAAUCAUCAGUGCAGUGUCCUGCUGCCACCAACCACCUGAUGGCAUGAGCCUGACCCUGAACUGGAAUUCAAACAUAAACCAGUCUGUCUGUGGUGCUGUGUUUGCCUUUUCCCUCAGGUUAAACAAUUCUUUUCUUCCCUUUCUCGUCCCUUCUCCUGUUCCUGCCCUCCUUGGAUAGAGCCAGGGUAAUUAGCUGUGGCAGAUACAUUUUGCACUCUUGGGGUUCUCAGGCCUGCAGUUUCCUAAUGGCACAGUCCUUUGGGACAGAGUUUGGGAAUGUUAAAUCCGCUAAAACAAUAAUCAAUUAAAGUGAUCUCAUUUCUGGCUUUUCACUCCAGCCCUGUGCACUGUAACAGUGUCAGUAAAGAUGCUUGAGGGACUGGGUUGGGAAUGGGGCUAUGGAGCCUGAAUGGCAAAAAAAAUAAUAUUGGUUUCUUGACCUUAUAUAAUUGUUAAAUAUAAUUAAAAGUUGGAAGGUAAGUACCCGCAAGUGUGCAUAUCAGUUGUGUAAACCAGAAGGGAGGAGAAAACCCUUCAGGUUUACUUCCAUUUAUUUAGUUUUUUUCUUACUCUUGGUUAAAGGAGUAACCAUGAACUGUUUUCUAACAAAAUUAAGGAAUGCACACAGAACCAUAGAUUCACAGAAUGCCUUGGUUUAGAAGGGACCUUCAAGAACAUCCAGAUCCAAAUCCCUUGCCAGGGACAGGGACAGCCAGCAUUAAACCAGGUUGCUCAAAGUCCCAUCCAACCUGGCCUUGAACACUUCCAGGGCUGGGGCAGCCACAACUUCUCUGUGCAACUUCUUUCAGUGUCUCAGCACUCUCAGAGUAAAGAAUUUCUUCCCAAUAUCCAAUCUAAACUGCCCUCUUUCAAUCUGGAGCUAUUCCUUCUUAUCCUGUCACUCUCUGCACUUGUAAAUAAUCUCUCUCCAUCUUUCCAGCAGGCUCCUUCAUGUACUGGAAAGGCCAGAAUUAGGCCACCCCAAAGUCUUCUCCAGGCUGAACAAUCCCCAUUCUCUCAGCCUUUCCUCCCAGCAGAGCUGCUCCAUCCCUCUGAUCAUCCUGGUGCCUCCUCUGGACUGGCUCCAGCAGCUCCAUGUCCUUCCUGUGCUGGGCCCCAGGGCUGGAGCAGCUCUGCAGGUGGGGUCUGACCAGAGCAGAGGGGCAGAAUCCCCUCCCUCACUCAGGCCAUGCUGCUUUUGAUGCAGCCCAGGACAUGAUUUGCUUUCUGGGCCAUAUUCACAUUCCUGAUGCCUUUCUUCAUGCCUAAAAGAAAAAGCCACACUCAGAUCUUUGUGUCCAGAAUGCAGCAAGGACAAUUGCACACAGGCAAUUGAGGCUGUUAGAGUCAUUUCCAGAAAGACUUUUUCAGUGCUGCUACCUGCAUGUUUUAAUAACACCUGCACCACUGUGAUGUGUCAUCUGAAGAGCUCAAAGCACAUUAUAGGUUCAGGUUUAGCUAAUGGGUAGCAGCCACUGAAAGAAGGAAGGAUUCCCAUCUGCAGGCACAUCAGGAGGUACCUGAAUGGAUUAAACGUCUCUCUCAAGGUCAAACAAAGAGUUGGUGGCAAAACUGGAGAACACUGAGAGGUGAAUUAAUAUGUCCUGAUGGCAGCCAGCUGCCUUGCUGCAGCUGUGCUCAGAACAUUGAUCUGAUUCUUGUGGAUACGAGGGAACUUCUCUAGACAAAGGAUCUCACAUAAAAUCAAAUAAUUUAUCAGCCCUCGAGAGGAGCAAACUGUGAAGUGUUAGGCUGUCACCUCUGUAAUGCAGGCAGCAAUUGCUAGGCAUUAAAGUGGUCAUGUUUUCCCUCUCCCUCCUUGAUGCAUGUUUCCAUAAAGCCUUGGUCCUGAGGAAAAAGUAUUUACCAGACUCUUAGCUAGGUAAGCACAUAUUCUGGUCACAGAGUGCUUCAGCCUGCAAACCCUUCACUGCUCAUGCUCUUUUAAAAUGCAAUAUUCAAGGACUUUGCAUUUUGACUUGCUAGUCAUGUUUCUGGAAGCAGAAGCACCUAAAUUAUAACUCAGUCCCCAAAGGCCUGAAAAGAAAUGCACAGCUUCAAUUCUCACAGCACAAAUGGUGUAAAAGGUGGCUUCAGAAGCAACCUACAAACCUGGAAAACUAAGGGUAAAUUAAAAACCACUGAGUUAAAAAACUUCAGACAAUGUUCUUAAGAUAUUCUUUAACAUUUGAACAA